This 498-nucleotide ribosomal RNA is filed under the name uncultured bacterium. RNAcentral's name for it is "partial 16S ribosomal RNA". It matches the Rfam family "Bacterial small subunit ribosomal RNA", at positions 28 to 508 of the family's 1533-position model. The record is from RNAcentral.
GAUGAACGCUGGCGGCGUGCCUAAUACAUGCAAGUCGAGCGAACGGACGAGAAGCUUGCUUCUCUGAUGUUAGCGGCGGACGGGUGAGUAACACGUGGAUAACCUACCUAUAAGACUGGGAUAACUUCGGGAAACCGGAGCUAAUACCGGAUGAUAUUUUGAACCGCAUGGUUCAAAAGUGAAAGACGGUCUUGCUGUCACUUAUAGAUGGAUCCGCGCUGCAUUAGCUAGUUGGUAAGGUAACGGCUUACCAAGGCAACGAUGCAUAGCCGACCUGAGAGGGUGAUCGGCCACACUGGAACUGAGACACGGUCCAGACUCCUACGGGAGGAAGCAGUAGGGAAUCUUCCGCAAUGAGCGAAAGCCUGACGGAGCAACGCCGCGUGAGUGAUGAAGGUCUUCGGAUCGUAAAACUCUGUUAUUAGGGAAGAACAUAUGUGUAAGUAACUGUGCACAUCUUGACGGUACCUAAUCAGAAAGCCACGGCUAACUACGUGC